Molecule: ribosomal RNA, 492 nt
Filed under: uncultured bacterium
Lineage: Bacteria
Description: partial 16S ribosomal RNA
Rfam family: Bacterial small subunit ribosomal RNA
Source: RNAcentral
AGUGAACGCUGGCGGUAGGCCUAACACAUGCAAGUCGAACGGCAGCACAGUAAGAGCUUGCUCUUACGGGUGGCGAGUGGCGGACGGGUGAGGAAUACAUCGGAAUCUACUUUUUCGUGGGGGAUAACGUAGGGAAACUUACGCUAAUACCGCGUACGACCUACGGGUGAAAGCAGGGGAUCUUCGGACCUUGCGCGAUUGAAUGAGCCGAUGUCGGAUUAGCUAGUUGGCGGGGUAAAGGCCCACCAAGGCGACGAUCCGUAGCUGGUCUGAGAGGAUGAUCAGCCACACUGGAACUGAGACACGGUCCAGACUCCUACGGGAGGCAGCAGUGGGGAAUAUUGGACAAUGGGCGCAAGCCUGAUCCAGCCAUACCGCGUGGGUGAAGAAGGCCUUCGGGUUGUAAAGCCCUUUUGUCGGGAAAGAAAAGCAGCAGGUUAAUACCCCGCUGUUCUGACGGUACCCAAAGAAUAAGCACCGGCUAACUUCGUG